This is a non-coding RNA of Pelobates cultripes (western spadefoot toad), 72 nucleotides long. The record is from the annotation of a GenBank genome assembly. Lineage: Eukaryota; Metazoa; Chordata; Amphibia; Anura; Pelobatidae.
GGGGGUAUAGCUCAGUGAUAGAGCAUUUGACUGCACAUCAAGAGUUCUCAGGUUCAAAUCCAGGUGCUCCAU